CAGCGCCACGAGUGGCAAUCAUGUUUACUUGGCCUAAAGCGUCCGUAGCCGGUUUGAUAAAUCCUUCGUGAAAUUGUUAAGCUCAACUUAACAUCGUGCGGAAGACACUAUCUUACUUGGGACCGGGAGGAGUCAGAGGUAUUCUUUGGGGAGCGGUAAAAUGCUAUAAUCCUUAGAGGACCACCUGUGGCGAAGGCGUCUGACCAGAACGGAUCCGACGGUGAGGGACGAAAGCUAGGGGAGCGAACCGGAUUAGAUACCCGAGUAGUCC
RNAcentral lists this ribosomal RNA (271 nucleotides) under uncultured archaeon. Its description in RNAcentral is "partial 16S ribosomal RNA". It matches the Rfam family "Archaeal small subunit ribosomal RNA", at positions 477 to 747 of the family's 1478-position model. The record is from RNAcentral.